This 493-nucleotide ribosomal RNA is filed under the name uncultured bacterium. RNAcentral's name for it is "bacterial SSU rRNA". It matches the Rfam family "Bacterial small subunit ribosomal RNA", at positions 28 to 507 of the family's 1533-position model. The record is from RNAcentral.
GGCGAACGCUGGCGGCGUGCCUAACACAUGCAAGUCGAACGGGGUGAUUUCCUUCGGGAGAUCACUUAGUGGCGAACGGGUGAGUAACGCGUGAGAAACCUGCCUUUCAGUGGGGGACAACAGUUGGAAACGACUGCUAAUACCGCAUAACGUAUUUUUAGGGCAUCUUCUGAUAUCUAAAAGCCCUUCGGGGAUGCUUUGAGAUGGUCCUGCGGCGCAUUAGCUAGUUGGUAAGGUAGCGGCUUACCAAGGCGACGAUGCGUAGCUGAGCUGAGAGGCUAAACAGCCACACUGGGACUGAGACACGGCCCAGACUCCUACGGGAGGCAGCAGUAGGGAAUUUUCGGCAAUGGGGGAAACCCUGACCGAGCAAUGCCGCGUGAAUGAUGAAAUUCUUCGGAAUGUAAAAUUCUGUUGUAAGGGAAGAACUGUAUUAGUAGGAAAUGACUAGUAUUUGACGGUACCUUACUAGAAAGCCCCGGCUAACUAUGUG